GGGUCGAUAGCUCAGCUGGUAGAGCUGCGGACUUUUAAUCCGUAGGUCCUGGGUUCGAGCCCCAGUCGACCCA
This 73-nucleotide transfer RNA is filed under the name Pajaroellobacter abortibovis. It matches the Rfam family "tRNA". From Rfam's summary of the family: Transfer RNA (tRNA) molecules are approximately 80 nucleotides in length. Their secondary structure includes four short double-helical elements and three loops (D, anti-codon, and T loops). Further hydrogen bonds mediate the characteristic L-shaped molecular structure. tRNAs have two regions of fundamental functional importance: the anti-codon, which is responsible for specific mRNA codon recognition, and the 3' end, to which the tRNAs corresponding amino acid is attached (by aminoacyl-tRNA synthetases). tRNAs cope with the degeneracy of the genetic code in two manners: having more than one tRNA (with a specific anti-codon) for a particular amino acid; and 'wobble' base-pairing, i.e. permitting non-standard base-pairing at the 3rd anti-codon position. The record is from Rfam by way of RNAcentral. Lineage: Bacteria; Pseudomonadati; Myxococcota; Polyangiales; Polyangiaceae.